RNAcentral lists this long non-coding RNA (2865 nucleotides) under Daucus carota (carrot). RNAcentral describes it as "long non-coding RNA (DCAR_LNC007528)". Lineage: Eukaryota; Viridiplantae; Streptophyta; Magnoliopsida; Apiales; Apiaceae. The record is from RNAcentral.
GCAUAGUGGAGAUGGCGAGUCUGAAUAGCUGUUGUCAUCUGUAAACUCCGAAAAUGCAGAGAUUUCAGAGUAUGUUCUCCUGUACCAGAAAGAAUCUGCUCUGAUUGUUGAAUAAACAGCAGUUUCUGUAGGUGAAUCAUCACUUUGAUCAACUGAAGCUGGGGAUUGCUGAUAACCCAAAUCGCGAUUUUCAUCACUCUCAGCUUUUGAUUCCAUCUUGAAGCUGGGGAAAUAAACAAACAUCAUAUAUGCAUGUGAACACUUAAAAGAUGAAAAUGAUCAAGAAUCACCUAGGUUACAUCUUUACAAAAAAUGACAUUCCGGGAAUGUCAUUAAAUAUUAAUUCAAUCCACUAAAGAAUUAAUAUUUGCACUACAUUUCCUAAUUCCGUAAAUUAAUUAUUUAAUUCGGCUCCCAUAUUAAUUGCUUAUAAAUUCCCCAUGUUUAAGAUAUCGCAUGUCCAUUAAUUAAAUUAAUUUCUGACAAUUAAUUUAAUCAAUAUCUUUUAUCCUUGAUCAUCCACUCAACCUUAUAAUUAUGCAAGAACAAAUCUGCCUGCAGGACUAAAGCAUAAUUAUCUUUAUGAGCUUUCAAGAGGACAUCAUCACCCGAAUAUAUUUUUCGGACACGGUUUCCUUUUAUAGUCAAUAUCCCACUCUGUAUAUAAUGUCAUUGCCCAAUACAUAAAUUCGUAAUUACACAAGGAACUGGCAGCCACCACUUUCCCUCUUUACGCUGAGGCUGAGGAAUGAUCCUCCUGAAUGAUCCUGAGCGCACUGAAUUCCCUGAAAUACUACCUUGUUCUGCAUACCAAAAUUCUGUAUUUGUAAAACUUUCAAGAACCUCCUGUACAGAAGAACACAGGAACACUGAGUUAAAAGAAACAAAAAUGUUUAGGUAUCGAGCCCUAAAACCACGAGUGAGCUCAAAAAUUGUUUUGAUAAGCUGUUGAAGAUUUUCUUACAAUUAGCAUUGCAUCAAGUUUUCUCAAUGCUGGAAGGUUGAUGUUAAUAUCGGAUCGUGGUGUAUUGGUCAUAAUCUAAACAAAAAUUGUAAAAAUUGCAUUAGAAUAAGAAAAAGGUUAUAAAAUAAUAUAGGUAAUAGCUGAGAAUUUUUUACCUCAACAACUGUUUCAUCUUUUAAAUUUUGUGAUGCUGGGAUAAACUCUACUAUGUAAUCACAUACAGAUAAAAGGCAAUUCAUCUCUCUUUUCCACAUCAAUUCCUUCUCUGAAUGAAGUGGCUCCAAUUUUAGGUGCUGGCCAUAUACAGAAGCUAGAGUGUACACACAUCAGACAAUGAGAUAAAAUCCUCAAAAAGGAACUUUUUAUAAUAUUCUAAACAUUGCUGUGUUUUGCGAGUUUACCAUAAAGAUUUGUUAUAGCAUUAGACAAUGUGACUGUUGUGCAAACUCCUUUACCACUUCCUGACAUGUCCUCACCCAGCAAGAGCUUUGAAAAUCUUUCCUUCAUCAUUAUAAGUUCUGUUAACAUUUCGAAAAUUAUUAGCUGACCUAUAGAGUAUUUCACACACAGGAAAAUCUUAUAUUGCGGACAGAUAAUACAGGCAAAUAUAAAAGUAAUAUUUUUUAGCUAUGCAAGUUAAUACUCCACAAAAGAUAACUAAUAUCUUACUGCAAGAAUUGGUUAUUUUAAUUAAAAAUAAAUGAAUUGAUCGCUAAUCUCUUAAGUUAACAAGCUAGCAAAAAAAUUAUAAUAACAAUUACAAUAACAAAUUGUGUUGAAAGAAUCUUUAUACAUAUCUAAUGAUUUACCAGAAAAAAAAAUUAAACAUUGUGAAUUAGAUAGAUGAACGGGGGAAAGCCUACUUACUAGAGAUCGAUGGUUUGAGCCUCAGUGGAGGGCUGAAUGGGUAUUGAUAACAAGGAACAAGGGUCUUAAAAGAACAUAUAUAGCAAUCAUCAGACUGGAAGGACUUUUAAAUAGAAGGAAUGCAUUCACAAGGUUUAAACCUUGGUCAAAUUCUAAACCACCACUAUAAGAAAUUUAAAAAACAUUAAUUAUAAGAAAGGUAUCAACUAGUAUGCAACAAGAAGCAUGAACAAAUAUACAAAGAGAACCAGAUUCAAAUUCAUAACCAAAGAUUUUUUGCCAUUAAGCUAUCCACAAAUCUACAUGACAUUCAUCCAAAUCAUUUCCAAACACGACGAUAUAUUACAAAAGCACCCUACAUUCCCACUAGUAGCCAACGGCAAAAACUGAAAAUAACCUGAAAUCGACAACCCUAAAACUCCUGAGAAGCAGAGCCAAUGUCCCUUUGUAAAAAAUACUAUAAGGUUUUACUAGAAAAACCUCUGGCCAUUGUUAGACAGAGGGGGACUUUAAAGAAGCCUCCAUUAUAAGAGAUUUACUAUUAGCAAGUUUCAGCCGUUGCUUAUGUAGAUUAUAGAUAAAAGAUAUCAAGAUUCUAGACAGUUGAAACAACUGAUCCUUAGAUAUGCAGGCAGGUUAAGGUAAUCCUAAAGGCAGGAACCGAAAGAACAUUGUAUACUAUAAUUACCUUUAUCUACUGGCUCCUGAUUCUCAAGAGUAUCAUCCAUGCCAAGUUUGUUUUGUUGCAUUCCUAGUCUUCUGAGUACAGGCUGCUUAGGUGAUUUCAGAGCUGGCCAGCAUAGUGGAGAUGGCGAGUCUGAAUAGCUGUUGUCAUCUGUAAACUCCGAAAAUGCAGAGAUUUCAGAGUAUGUUCUCCUGUACCAGAAAGAAUCUGCUCUGAUUGUUGAAUAAACAGCAGUUUCUGUAGGUGAAUCAUCACUUUGAUCAACUGAAGCUGGGGAUUGCUGAUAACCCAAAUCGCGAUUUUCAUCACUCUCAGCUUUUGAUUCCAUCUUGAAGCUGGGGAAAUAAAC